This 433-nucleotide ribosomal RNA is filed under the name uncultured bacterium. Its description in RNAcentral is "partial 16S ribosomal RNA". It matches the Rfam family "Bacterial small subunit ribosomal RNA", at positions 29 to 507 of the family's 1533-position model. The record is from RNAcentral.
AACGAACGCUGGCGGCAUGCCUAACACAUGCAAGUCGAACGAGACCUUCGGGCUUAGUGGUGCAUGGGUGCGCAAAGCGUGGGAACCUGCCUUUAGGUUUGGCAUAACUCCCCGAAUGGGGUCCUAAUACCGGCUCUUGUCCUCGGACCAAAGUUUUAUCGCCUUUGGAUGGGCGUGGGUUGGAUAAGCUAGUUGGUAGGGUAAAAGCCUAUCACGGCGUCGUUCCAUAGCUGGUUUGAGAGGAUGAUCAGCCACACUGGGCCUGGGACACGGCCCGGACUACUACGGAAGGCAGGAAUGGGGAAUAUUGGACAGUGGGCGAAGGCCUGAACGAGCAAGGCCGCGUAAGUGAUGAAGGCCUGAAGGUAGUAAAGCUCGUUUACCCGGGAUGAUAAUGACAGUACCGGGAGAAUAAGCACCGGCUAACUCCGUG